This 75-nucleotide transfer RNA is filed under the name Pichia kudriavzevii. RNAcentral's name for it is "tRNA-Tyr". It matches the Rfam family "tRNA". From Rfam's summary of the family: Transfer RNA (tRNA) molecules are approximately 80 nucleotides in length. The record is from RNAcentral. Lineage: Eukaryota; Fungi; Ascomycota; Pichiomycetes; Pichiales; Pichiaceae.
CCCUCUUUAGCUCAGUUGGAAGAGCGCGAGACUGUAAUCAUCUUGAGGUCUCUGGUUCGAUCCCGGAAGGAGGGA